GAUGAACGCUGGCGGCGUGCCUAAUACAUGCAAGUCGAGCGAACAGACGAGGAGCUUGCUCCUCUGACGUUAGCGGCGGACGGGUGAGUAACACGUGGAUAACCUACCUAUAAGACUGGGAUAACUUCGGGAAACCGGAGCUAAUACCGGAUAAUAUAUUGAACCGCAUGGUUCAAUAGUGAAAGACGGUUUUGCGGUCACUUAUAGAUGGAUCCGCGCCGCAUUAGCUAGUUGGUAAGGUAACGGCUUACCAAGGCAACGAUGCGUAGCCGACCUGAGAGGGUGAUAGGCCACACGGGAACUGAGACACGGUCCAGGCUCCUACGGGAGGCAGCAGUAGGGAAUCUGCCGCAAUGGGCGAAAGCCUGACGGAGCAACGCCGCGUGAGUGAUGAAGGUCUUCGGAUCGUGAAACUCUGUUAUUAGGGAAGAACAAAUGUGUACGUAACUAUGCACGUCUUGACGGUACCUAAUCAGAAAGCAACGGCUAACUACGUG
RNAcentral lists this ribosomal RNA (497 nucleotides) under uncultured bacterium. RNAcentral's name for it is "partial 16S ribosomal RNA". It matches the Rfam family "Bacterial small subunit ribosomal RNA", at positions 28 to 507 of the family's 1533-position model. The record is from RNAcentral.